UACAGAGGUCUCGAGCGUUAGGCGGAAUCACUGGGCUUAAAGCGUGUGUAGGCGGAUCGGUAAGUACCUUGUGAAAUCCCACAGCUUAACUGCGGAACUGCUUGGUAUACUGCCAGUCUUGAGCCACUUAGGGGUUACCGGAACAAAUGGUGGAGCGGUGAAAUGCGUAGAUAUCAUUUGGAACGCCAAUGGUGAAAACAGGUAGCUGGGAGUGUGCUGACGCUGAGACACGAAAGCCAGGGGAGCAAACGGG
This 253-nucleotide ribosomal RNA is filed under the name uncultured bacterium. RNAcentral describes it as "partial 16S ribosomal RNA". It matches the Rfam family "Bacterial small subunit ribosomal RNA", at positions 524 to 776 of the family's 1533-position model. The record is from RNAcentral.